AUGGAAUGCAAUGGUUUUGAGGAGUCUCUGCCAGUCCUUGAGACAGCUGGACACACCCUGGGGUUCUGUAAAACCCAGGGUGGGAACCAUGGGUCUAAGGGAGAAAAAACGGCUCAGGAAGAACCAGCACCAGCAGAUGACAGAGCUGGGGCAGGAGCUGGCGAGCAGUGGCCACGGGGACCCCUGGUGCUCACCGUGGUGUCAGGCUCAGGGGAAUUGAAGGCACCCUACAGGCUGCUGGCGGCCGCACCCUGGCCACUCCAAGGGCUCAUGACACAGCAGUUCUCCAGGGUCCCGUGUAACCCUAAGUCACGGACGCACAUUCAUAGACUCCGCGACAUCACAGACAGGGACGCAAAUAUGCAUAAAGCAAGCAAAACUCGAGUGCCCAGAGUCUGCAGUCAGGCUGGGAGAUGCGCUCAUCACGCCUGUCACGUGUCUGGAGGAGAGACAGAUUCAGCGAGAAAGAGAACCUUCUCUCCUCCAGCCAGACACCACUGUGGGGCUGCUUCUCAAUGGCCGUGGGGUCAGGUGCCCCACCAGAGCACAGCGAGCCCCCCACUGACUCCCACAUACACAAGGCACCUCUGCAGAGGAAAUCCUGGCAGCCACUCACCCGCGGCUGGACCAGGUCCCACACCCAGUGCUGGGAUGGCCAGGCUGAGCUGGCCACACACGGAGACUGAGGCAGGUCCAAGGGGAGUUUGGAGUUUUGUUCAUGAAAGCCUCAAAUCCUGUCUGGGGUACAGACGGGUGGUGCAGUGGGUUAAGAACUGCUGGCUGCAACGCCGACAUCCCACGCUGGAGCACUGGUUCCUGUGCCAAGUGCUCCACUUCUGGCCCAGCUUCCUGAUAAUGAACCUGGGAAAGCAGCAAGGGAUGGCCCAGGCACUCAGGCCCAUUAAACAAUGUGGGAGACCCGGAUGGAGCCCCGUACUCCUGCCUUCAGCCUGGCCCAGCUCCAGCAUUUGCAGCCACUUGGAGAAUGAACCAUGGAUGAAACUUCAGGAUGGGUCAUACCAGGGACUGGCAAGGCUCAAAGCCUGCUGCCGCCGCCGCCAAGGGUCUGCAGAAAGAAGCAGGGCUGGAGCCGCGUGUGGCGUGGGGACCUCCCACAGGGGCAGGGGCGAGCCCCUCGGGGCUGCACCAGCUCCACAAACAUCCCUGCUCCGAGUGGGCCUCUCAACCCUUGGGAAUGCACAGGGGUGGAGGCAGCAACGAAUUGUUUUAUUUGCUAGGACUCCGAGCUACAACCUGCAACAAAUCAGUGUGAAAUGA
Molecule: long non-coding RNA, 1278 nt
Filed under: Oryctolagus cuniculus (rabbit)
Lineage: Eukaryota; Metazoa; Chordata; Mammalia; Lagomorpha; Leporidae
Description: lncRNA (ENSOCUG00000033953.1)
Source: RNAcentral